UAGGAACUAUUGGUGUUCUUUAGACGACCA
RNAcentral lists this non-coding RNA (30 nucleotides) under Mus musculus (house mouse). Lineage: Eukaryota; Metazoa; Chordata; Mammalia; Rodentia; Muridae. The record is from RNAcentral.